CGCAAAUCUGCGCCCGCCUCACUCACCACACCGCGCAUAGUGCCGCCGGAGGUGGUCCUCGGACGGCUCCUCUACUACUUCCUGCCGUUUCUCCCCUUCCUUCCCAUGCAUUGCCUCUGGCUUCAGCAGGCUCAAUACAUGGCGCAUUAGGGUUUCGUGGAUACUUCUCUCGGCGAUUAGGUGGCGCGUGCAUUGAUAAUAUUCUUGCGUUGUAGUUCUUAUUUUGCACUCCCAAGCAAGCGCGUGGUCAUGGUUGUAAUUUUAAGUGUGUCUCGUAGUUUGCUGCAUGGAAUAGUCGGAAUCUCAAAGACAUUGUCGAUGGACCAAACAGUCGGGAUGCUCUCCGAGCAGCCGCCGAAGUAGUAGCAGCAGCAUCUGGAGCUGCGUUAGCAACGUGGGAUUUGAUCGCGGUUACUUGUGAUUGUUCUCCCCAUAGUUUUUGACUUGUUCGGAGUGCUCUUGUGGUCUAAACUGACACUGUCUUCUUGUGUGAGCUCUAUGAUUGACUGUCGCUCUUACAGAACCGUUUUGUUUCCCAUGUAGUGGAUGAUUAUGUACACAGAAGUGUCCUAUUGUAUCAUCCGUCAUGUUUAGUCUCAUGCUCACAUGGCGUCCAUUUUUAAUGGACUUGUUUAGAUGGGCCUUUGACUUUUGGGGUAGUUCAAGUAAAUUUUUUAAAAAUCGAAAAGACGUGUGUUUAUUACUUUUUGGGAUGUGAUGGUAAGUGUGUAUAAUUGUCCAAAAUUCGAUGGUUUUUUUCUUUUGCUUUACUGUUCUUUUUGGGAAUUGGGCGCUUGAUAUUUUGGUGGAUGCCACCAAAUAAAUACAUAGAUGUUCACGAUUCUGUAUGAGUAAAUUUUGAUAUCACUUUUGAUACUAGAAAAAUAACCAUCUGUGCUUCUCUCAGUUUUUGAAUUAGGGUUAUUACAGUUUUAUUGCAAGCAAUUAUCUCAAGUCUACUGGACAUGAAUAAUAUGAUUUAAAAAAGGUCCAUUUCAACAUCCAUCUAUGAAGAUGGAAACAUACGUGACGUUCCGUUGAUCCAAAUGCAAAUAAUUGACUCAACUUGGAUGAAUGAUGUACUUACGAUGGGGGGGACGAACGUUUUCGCAUUCAUCCAAGACUAUUGGAAGCCUUCCCGAAAUCCUAAGGGAGCUCUGGAUGUCGAACUUCGACAUCGGAUGUCUUGGAAAUCGACCUCAUUACGAUAAAUUGUGUUUCCUUUUAGAGUUUUGACGAAGCAGCCUUGGCUCGCAUGACUAUUUCAUGUCGAUUGCAGUGAACUGCUGAAUCACUUUUUCUUCUGAAAUCGUCUGGAAGUUGGAAAUGUAGUUUUCUUUGAGUCGUCGAGUGUUCACCAGUGUGUUCGUAGAACUCGUGGUUGCGAAUGAUCAAUCGGUGCGGUAUGGGAGAAGCACAAUGAUUUACAGCUGAGGAAAGAAAAAGAGGUUUCGAAGCUUGAUGAGGGUUGAGGUUGAAUCUGAAACCGCCGUCAAAGCUAUGAUCGCUGAAGAGGCUUCUUUAAAGGAGAUUGGCCUGUCUCGUUCCAGGCAGCUUGAACAACGAUAAUCUGCCCGUACUUGCUUAGUCUGCAACUUGAGAAUCCUACACGGGAGCUUAUUUUUAUAAAGAUGGCCAGUUUGGAGUGUUAUGCAAAACUCAAUAGCACAACAGCUGGGUCAGUCAGCAUUAGUUUAUUCAGCGAAUUAGGCACAUAUGAUUUCCCAUUUAUCAUUGUGUGCAGAAGAGGAGAAGAUUUUUUGGUAUUGGGAAGUUGCGGGCGUAUCUUACGUUUUCUAGAGUCAAUAUCCAGGAAAAAGAUCGCAAAAAUAUGAGAGGCUUUACGAAACCGUUUCAUUAACUUCUAUAUAGAUUCAACCCAACAAUUCACUUCCUUCUUCUGCAACUUAAUCGGGCUUCACUGUUCUCCAAGGUCGACCCGAACUACGACUUCUUGACAACUUAUUUGUUUGCUGUUCAGUGAUUGUAGUUGUGAAGUCGAUGCUUCAAAUGGAAAGCUAAAACGGAACUCACCAAGCGGUUAUUCUAGCAGGCUCCGCUUCUGUAGGAUUAUUCACAUCUGAAAGUUUUUUUUAGCUCCAGGCCUCUCAACAAAUUGAUUCUGUAAGAAAACUGCCCGGUCGUUGACACCCAUUAAAGAGUAGAACGGAGACAGUUUCAUAAGGAAUUUAGUUUUAGAUUACAUAGAGUUGAUUGCUACUACGGAAUUCAUAUUGGUAAGUGUAGCUUAUACCAGAUCUGAGAAAUUUAAACGAAGAAGUUUCCAGAUACAACUACGGGACUUUCAAUGCAGAGACAAAUCAUUGGACAUGGUCCGCAGUAGCAAUCCGACAUUUUUUAACUUUUA
Non-coding RNA from Physcomitrium patens, 2368 nucleotides. The record is from RefSeq and is a predicted model, not a curated record. Lineage: Eukaryota; Viridiplantae; Streptophyta; Bryopsida; Funariales; Funariaceae.